This 77-nucleotide transfer RNA is filed under the name Clostridiales bacterium. RNAcentral describes it as "tRNA-Met". It matches the Rfam family "tRNA". From Rfam's summary of the family: Transfer RNA (tRNA) molecules are approximately 80 nucleotides in length. Their secondary structure includes four short double-helical elements and three loops (D, anti-codon, and T loops). Further hydrogen bonds mediate the characteristic L-shaped molecular structure. tRNAs have two regions of fundamental functional importance: the anti-codon, which is responsible for specific mRNA codon recognition, and the 3' end, to which the tRNAs corresponding amino acid is attached (by aminoacyl-tRNA synthetases). tRNAs cope with the degeneracy of the genetic code in two manners: having more than one tRNA (with a specific anti-codon) for a particular amino acid; and 'wobble' base-pairing, i.e. permitting non-standard base-pairing at the 3rd anti-codon position. The record is from RNAcentral. Lineage: Bacteria; Bacillati; Bacillota; Clostridia; Eubacteriales.
CGCGGGAUGGAGCAGUCCGGUAGCUCGUCGGGCUCAUAACCCGAAGGUCGUAGGUUCAAGUCCUACUCCCGCAACCA